Long non-coding RNA from Monodelphis domestica (gray short-tailed opossum), 369 nucleotides. RefSeq lists it as uncharacterized. NCBI's taxonomy places the organism in Eukaryota, Metazoa, Chordata, Mammalia, Didelphimorphia, Didelphidae. The record is from RefSeq and is a predicted model, not a curated record.
GGAAGAUGGUACCCUUAAUGGCUCAGAACAAGAGGUAGGGGCUGCCCAUGGGGGAGGGGGGUGGAGAGCGGCCAGCCUGAGUCACGUGGGCAGAAUCCUCACGUCCCACACUUCAGGGGAGCGUUUGUGAAGGAAAAUGAGGUUAGCCUCCAUCCCUGCCAUAUCUCACCCUAUGACUGUUUUUGUGCAGAAGAGACCUAGGACUGGAAAGAAUAUCAAAGAUCAUCUUGCCUUAAUCCUACCAUUUUGCAGAGAAGGAAACUACAGUUCAAGGAAGUUAUAUGACUCAUCCAAGAUCACACUUGUAAUAAGGGCAGAAGUAUUUGAACUCAAGAUCUAUAAUGCAAAAAUAAUAGUCUUUCUACUCUA